Molecule: ribosomal RNA, 483 nt
Filed under: uncultured bacterium
Lineage: Bacteria
Description: bacterial SSU rRNA
Rfam family: Bacterial small subunit ribosomal RNA
Source: RNAcentral
UUNAACGCUGGCGGCAUGCCUUACACAUGCAAGUCGAACGGCAGCACGGGAGCAAUCCUGGUGGCGAGUGGCGAACGGGUGAGUAAUAUAUCGGAACGUGCCCAGUCGUGGGGGAUAACGUAGCGAAAGCUAGCUAAUACCGCAUACGACCCAAGGGUGAAAGUGGGGGGAUCGCAAGACCUCAUGCUCAUGGAGCGGCCGAUAUCUGAUUAGCUAGUUGGUGGGGUAAAGGCUCACCAAGGCAACGAUCAGUAGCUGGUCUGAGAGGACGACCAGCCACACUGGAACUGAGACACGGUCCAGACUCCUACGGGAGGCAGCAGUGGGGAAUUUUGGACAAUGGGCGCAAGCCUGAUCCAGCAAUGCCGCGUGCAGGAUGAAGGCCUUCGGGUUGUAAACUGCUUUUGUACGGAACGAAACGGUGAGCUCUAAUACAGUUUGCUAAUGACGGUACCGUAAGAAUAAGCACCGGCUAACUACGUG